Long non-coding RNA from Orbicella faveolata, 596 nucleotides. RefSeq lists it as uncharacterized. Lineage: Eukaryota; Metazoa; Cnidaria; Anthozoa; Scleractinia; Merulinidae. The record is from RefSeq and is a predicted model, not a curated record.
GAUAAACAUAUAAGUAGGAUUCACAUUGAGCGAAAUGACAGUAAAAGCGAGCUCUUGAGUGAGAUAAAAGUAAAUCAGAACGUUGGCAAGGAGAUUAUUACUGCGAAAGAUGAAAUCGAUGAAGCUCGUGGUAGUUAUCAUCUCAGUGGCUUGUCUAGUUAUAGCGUUGUCUCCCCGCGCAAAUGCCCAGUGUUCGGCAAAGUGCUCAGAUGCUAAAAAGCAAUGCGUUUACACCUGUACCGAUCAGAAAUGCGUUGAUUUCUGUCACUAUCAACACGCGAAAUGUCAAAAGAGUUGCCUCUCAGCAUCAGGAAGAUUUCUUCGUCGGGAUGGGGGCCUACUGGAAGCGGUAAAACGGUAUAAGAGCAAUUCUGAUUAAAUCCACAACCCAUGGACAAACGAUGCAAGAUGCUUGUAAAACUGAUAGAUGCGGAUUCUUAAAAACUGGGUUGAACUAAAACUAUGAGUAAAAGAAAUUAAUUUCAACACUAAAAAAAGUAAAAUGAUGUACUUUUGCGUGACUCGCACAGUAAAUAUAAUAAGUUUUAAAUGUAACUUAUAAAACAGUUGAUUAAAACAUUACAAACUAUUAUGAA